AUUGAACGCUGGCGGUAGGCCUAACACAUGCAAGUCGAGCGGACGAAGCGAGCUUGCUCCUGGAUGCAGCGGCGGACGGGUGAGUAAUGCCUAUGAAUCUGCCUGGUAGAGGGGGAUAACGUCCGGAAACGGGCGCUAAUACCGCAUACGUCAUGAGGGAGAAAGUGGGGGAUCUUCGGCCCUUACGCUAUUUGAUGAGCCUAGGUCUGACUAGCUAGGUGGUGGGGUAAGGGCCUACCAAGGCGACGAUCCGUAACGGGUCUGAGAGGAUGACCAGUCACACUGGAGCUGAGGCACGGUCCAGACUCCUACGGGAGGCAGCAGUGGGGAAUAUUGGACGCUGGAGGGAAGCCUGAUCCAGCCAUGCCGCGUGUGUGGCGAAGGUCUUCGGAUUGUAAAGAACUUUAAGUUGGGAGGAAGGGCAGUAAGUUAAUACCAUGAUGUUUUGACGUUACCAAAAGAAUAAGCACCGGCUAACUUCGUG
RNAcentral lists this ribosomal RNA (484 nucleotides) under uncultured bacterium. RNAcentral describes it as "partial 16S ribosomal RNA". It matches the Rfam family "Bacterial small subunit ribosomal RNA", at positions 30 to 507 of the family's 1533-position model. The record is from RNAcentral.